RNAcentral lists this ribosomal RNA (1154 nucleotides) under Euplotes focardii. RNAcentral's name for it is "partial Bacterial large subunit ribosomal RNA". It matches the Rfam family "Bacterial large subunit ribosomal RNA", at positions 188 to 1413 of the family's 2925-position model. The record is from RNAcentral. Lineage: Eukaryota; Ciliophora; Spirotrichea; Euplotida; Euplotidae.
GGGAACUGAAACAUCUAAGUACCCAGAGGAAAGGAAAGCAAUAUGCGACUCCGUAAGUAGCGGCGAGCGAAAUCGGAUAGCGGUGAAACCUGUGAAUAUGUUGGAAUGCAUAACCAAAGACGGUGAAAGUCCGGUAGCAGAAUGUAGCCGCUCAGCCCUCGAGUAGGCUCGGGCUCGUGGAACCCGGGUUGAACAUGGGAGGUCCACCUCCCAAGGCUAAGUACUCCUUGACGACCGAUAGCGAAACAGUAAGGUGACUGAAUGUUUAAAAGUACCCCUAUUAGGGGGGUGAAAUAGUACCUGAAACCGUAUGCCUACAAGCGGUCGGAGCCCUACGGGGUGACGGCGUGCUUUUUGCAUAAUGAGCCCGCGAGUUAGUCUCUGUGGUGAGCUUAAGGCCUAACGGGCCGGAGGCGGAGCGAAAGCGAGUCUGAAUAGGGCGUUUAAUCGCAGGGGCUAGACACGAAACCCGUGUGAUCUACCCAUGGUCAGGGUGAAGGUGGGGUAAAACCUGCUGGAGGCCCGAACCCGUCAACGUUGAAAAGUUGUGGGAUGAACUGUGGGGAGGGGUCAAAGUCCAAUCAAACCGGGAGAUAGCUUGUUCUCACCGAAAUAACUUUAGGGUUAGCCUCAGGAGGCAACUAUUGGGGGUAGAGCUACUGGAUGGAAGGCGGGCCCGCCUAGGGUACCUCUUCCAACCAAACUCCGAAUACCAAUAGCCAAGUCCUGGGAGAUAGACUGCGAGUGAAAAUAUCCGUAGUCAAAAGGAGAAUAAUCCAGAUCGCCAGCUAAGGUCCCCAAAUCAUACUCAGUUCUUAAGGAAGUCAGAUUGCCGUGACAACCAGGAUGUUGGCUUAGAAGCAGCCAUCAUUUAAAGAGUGCGUAACUGCUCACUGGUCGAGGAAUUUGGCGCCGAUAAUGAUCGGGAAUAAGUAUGAUACCGAAGCUGCGGACUUCGUAAGAAGUGGUAGGUGAGCGUUCCAUUCAGCGUUGAAGGUUAUCCGAAAGGGUUGCUGGAGCGUAUGGAAGUGAAUAUGCGGGCUUGAGUAACGAUAAAAAAGGUGAGAAUCCUUUUCGCCGUAAGUCUAAGGUUUCCUGGGGAAGGUAAAUCCGCCCAGGGUUAGCCGGGUCCUAAGGCGAGGCCGAAAGGCGUA